RNAcentral lists this ribosomal RNA (320 nucleotides) under uncultured eukaryote. RNAcentral describes it as "partial 18S ribosomal RNA". It matches the Rfam family "Eukaryotic small subunit ribosomal RNA", at positions 1470 to 1796 of the family's 1831-position model. The record is from RNAcentral.
CCCUUAGAUGUUCUGGGCCGCACACGCGCUACACUGAAGGAGGCAGCGUGUACUCCUGGAUCGAAAGAUUUGGGUAACCCGCGAAUCUCCUUCGUGCUAGGGAUUGAGGUUUGCAAUUAUCCUUCAUGAACGAGGAAUUCCUAGUAAGCGCAAGUCAACAGCUUGCGCUGAUUACGUCCCUGCCCUUUGUACACACCGCCCGUCGCUCCUACCGAUUGGGUGAUCCGGUGAAUGGUUCGGACUCUGGCUAUGCUAGCUACUAGCUACGUCAGGGAAAGUUCUGUGAACCUUAUCACUUGGAGGAAGGAGAANUCGUANCA